GCCAGGAGUGGUGGCACAUGCCUGUAAUCCCAGCAGCUCAGGAGGCUGAGGCAGGAGGAUCUCAAGUUCAAAGCCAGCCUCAGCAACUUAGUGAGGCCCUAAGCAACUCAAUGAGACCCUGUCUCUA
This 127-nucleotide small RNA is filed under the name Marmota monax (woodchuck). The record is from RNAcentral. Lineage: Eukaryota; Metazoa; Chordata; Mammalia; Rodentia; Sciuridae.